Molecule: ribosomal RNA, 425 nt
Filed under: uncultured bacterium
Lineage: Bacteria
Description: partial 16S ribosomal RNA
Rfam family: Bacterial small subunit ribosomal RNA
Source: RNAcentral
GUGGGGAAUAUUGGACAAUGGGCGCAAGCCUGAUCCAGCCAUGCCGCGUGAGUGAUGAAGGCCUUAGGGUUGUAAAGCUCUUUCAGCUGGGAAGAUAAUGACGGUACCAGCAGAAGAAGCCCCGGCUAACUUCGUGCCAGCAGCCGCGGUAAUACGAAGGGGGCUAGCGUUGUUCGGAAUCACUGGGCGUAAAGCGCACGUAGGCGGAUCGAUAAGUCAGGGGUGAAAUCCCGAGGCUCAACCUCGGAACUGCCUUUGAUACUGUCGAUCUUGAGUCCGGGAGAGGUGAGUGGAACUCCGAGUGUAGAGGUGAAAUUCGUAGAUAUUCGGAAGAACACCAGUGGCGAAGGCGGCUCACUGGCCCGGUACUGACGCUGAGGUGCGAAAGCGUGGGGAGCAAACAGGAUUAGAAACCCUUGUAGUCC